UGGGGAAUAUUGCACAAUGGGCGCAAGCCUGAUGCAGCCAUGCCGCGUGUAUGAAGAAGGCCUUCGGGUUGUAAAGUACUUUCAGUCGGGAGGAAGGUGUCAAGGUUAAUAACCUUGGCAAUUGACGUUACCAACAGAAGAAGCACCGGCUAACUCCGUGCCAGCAGCCGCGGUAAUACGGAGGGUGCAAGCGUUAAUCGGAAUUACUGGGCGUAAAGCGCACGCAGGCGGUUGAUUGAGUCAGAUGUGAAAUCCCCGGGCUUAACCCGGGAAUUGCAUCUGAUACUGGUCAGCUAGAGUCUUGUAGAGGGGGGGAGAAUUCCAUGUGUAGCGGUGAAAUGCGUAGGGAUGUGGAGGAAUACCGGUGGCGAAGGCGGCCCCCUGGACAAAGACUGACGCUCAGGUGCGAAAGCGUGGGGAGCAAACAGG
Molecule: ribosomal RNA, 429 nt
Filed under: Chloroflexota bacterium
Lineage: Bacteria; Bacillati; Chloroflexota
Description: Chloroflexi bacterium partial 16S ribosomal RNA
Rfam family: Bacterial small subunit ribosomal RNA
Source: RNAcentral